Molecule: long non-coding RNA, 2180 nt
Organism: Daphnia magna
Lineage: Eukaryota; Metazoa; Arthropoda; Branchiopoda; Diplostraca; Daphniidae
Exons: 2
Source: RefSeq, a predicted model, not a curated record
UCUGUCCUUUUAUUAUUUUUUUUAAAUAGAAAGGAUAGAUUAAAGUUGGACAAUCAGGUCAUCUCAGCGAUUUCGAGAACCGUCUACAUGGCAACGGAAUGCAUGAAUCGGGUGCCUUUCUGGAGGCCGAAUGGGUGACUUUCUCUUACUCAAGAAAGGAACGCACACCGACCGAUAUAUCCAGCUCUCGGACACCUUUUGGGCAAAUUUUCAUUCACGCUGGCGGAAAAUCACACGCAACUUAUUUUUCUUGCGAAGAAAGACUUUCUUCUGGCAGCUAAUUGACCAUGACAACUGGGCCAGAACAAAACAAAACAAAAAUACAAAGCUACCUGUAUGACGCGCACCGUCAAGAAUGCCGGAGCGAUAUACUUGGUUUGCCUGUUAAUCAAAGUAGUGCAAAGUAAAAGAAAAACAAAAAAAAACAACAGCUGAUGAAGAUAUAUAUGGUCUAUGGGUGAACCGUGACAUGAUGGAUGUAAUUGAUGUAUGAAGAGGUUUCAUGUUUGAUAGGCAUGUAUUCUGUCCAGAGUAGCUGCAUUUCCAAGCAGCGGUCAAUCUUGCACAAUGAUAAUCAUCCAUCAGAUUAGUAGAGGAUUUAAAUGUUGAUCCUGUGAUAUGAAGACUUCUUUCUUAAAUCUGAAUUCUUUUCUUUUUACUUUUUUUUUUUUUUGCGUUUCAAUGCCCAUAGCUCCCUUUAAAAGAAAAAAGAUGGAAACACAGACACACACACACGCGUGCGAGUUCGACCUGAUAAGAAAGUAGGCGUCCUAAGCCUCUUUCUUUUCACCGUCUCACCUGCAGCAAAAAAGUUCCAACGCAACCGAAAAGGUCCUUGAGUGAUGUUUCUUGGAGCUGCUCCAACAACUGGCCUCCAACUUUUGUGCUGCCGGAGAGAAACAAGACCGGCAGGCAAACAAGCAGGCUCUUUUCUAUUCUUUUCUCGUCGUUUUCUAAAUGUGUAUCCCUUUCUUGAAGAAGAAGAAGAAGAAAAAAAAAAAAAAAAAAAAGAAGGAGAGAAUAAAAAUUGUAUGUAUAUGUAUGUGUGCCGACGAGAACUAGGGAGAGAGAGAGAGAGACUGUCUUACGAGGUGUGUCGUGUGUGUGUUGGUUGUGUACUGGGUGUGGAACCAAGGACGAUGCAACAUCUGAUGAACGACCUUGCUGCAGGCUCUCGUGAAAAAGAAAAAAAACGGGCAAAGCGGCGGCCGAGACCGUCUUUAUUUUCCUUUUCUUAAACAAGUUGCGUACAAGAGAAAAUUUGUGAUUGUCUAAAGAAACUGACGCACCUAAACAUCAAGUGCGCUUUUCGAUCAGGUUGAUUGCAAUUUCCCGCCAGUAUCGGCUGUAUUAUGGAAACUGAACGCGUCGAUCGGCACAGGCCUUGGCUUGCAUCCUGUCGCCACACAGCCAACAGUCGGCGGGGAGUAAAAAUGAAUAUUCAAAAGCAUCUCAUUCAUUCCUGUCCAUGAAAAAGGGCCUCUCCUCUCUCCUCUCUCCAUUCUCUCCUUCCCCCUCUGUCUCCUUUUUCUCUAUUAUACACAUAUCUCCUCUUCACGCUCCACACACUCCUUUCGUCCCCAAGAAAGGCCAUGCAUGUUUGCUCUCAGCUAUCGAGCCAACUAUCUUUGAAUUUCUCUUUAUUUUAUGUAUUUUUUUGAAUGCCAGAUCGAUCACCGACUAGUGACCUCUGGCGUACAAUAUAACGAAAAUGGGACCCGAUCAGUGGGAAUCUUCACGCAACAACAGGGAUCAUUCCGGAUAAUUAUUCUUCGAUUCUCUUAUUGCUGCGUUUUAAAAAUCAUCCCCCAUCUUUCGUCCCACUCUUGGAUAUAAUGACCGCAUUUUUAUUGCUCUUGCUGUCGCUGGAACUUUGCCUCUCGUUAUGGACUUCUUCUCUUUCCGUCUUUGAAACACUAUCUUGUAAAUUCAGUUUUUAACAUGUCCAGAAGCCUCAACAACUCAACGUUAGGCUCUUGACGCCAACUUCAACUCUAGAUGUGCAAGUGCCUGAGACUCGAUGACGGGAAAUUUGAUCUCGUCGCAGUGAAACAUUUUUUGUCAUAUUUACGAUCAAAAUAAAUGAUAUUUCUAAGAUCUUUCGUAACUGAAAAACGCGAUGCAAAAUUCGUGCCAAAUUUUUACGCAAUAAAAAAAAAAUAUAUAAAAAAUACAAUGUA